CUGAGGUCCGAUGCCCAUGCCCUCCAGCCAAAGCUCCCAUGGAAUCAGCUGCCAAGCAUCCCCUGCCUUGCCUCAAGGAAAUACUUAAGACUUCUAACCUGCUGAGCUGUAUGAGUGAAGACAGUGGUCCCCAGGAGAAGCUUCUCUACAGGGCCUCCAUACACACGCUUUCAUUUUUUUUUUUCUUUUCAUUUGAGACAAGGUCCCUCGAUGGCCCACAUUGAAACUAGCUGGCCAGGGAACUCAGGGGAAUUCCCUUGUCUUCUCCCAUCUUGCCAUCUCUGUGAUUACGAGAGAACCACAAUGCUGGGUAUUUUUAUUGGAGAUACUGGAGAUCUGAAUUCAGGUCCUCAUGCUUUCGAGGUAAGCUCUUUACCAGCUGAGCUAUGUCCUGGGUUCUCUUGUCCUCCACUCUCCUCUACCUACCCUCUCUCUUUUAGGGGGAGGGCAACUUGCUUGUUUUUGUUGAAAGAGUGGGUCUCACUAUAGUCAGAUCUGGCCUCAAACUCCCAAUCCUCCAGCCACUGCCUCCUGAGUGCAGGGACUCCAGGCCUGCACCACCGCACUUGGUUCCAUUGGAGACUUCUUGAAAUGUCUUUUUUUCUUUUUCCUUUUUUUUCCCCUCCUUGAGACGGGGUUUCUCUGUGUAACCGCCCCAGCUGUCCUGGAACUCACUUUGUAGACCAGGCUGGACUUGAACUCUGCCUCCCCGAUGCUAGAGUUAAAGAGCUGAGGACGGAACCCAGGGCCUUGCGCUUGCUAGGCAAGCACUCUACCACUGAGCUAAAUCCCCAACCCCUAAUUUUUUUCUUAAUUACAAGUUUUUGUGUGUAUUUGUGUGGGGGGGUGCAUGCAUACCAGUGUGAGGGAGUCUGUUCUCCCUCAUGUUAUCAGGCUCAUCGACAAGUACCUUUUACCUGCUCCACCAUUAACCAGCCAUCCUUGUACAUUUUGAGCUUCUUACUUCAGACUUAAUUUGCAAUGGAAAAUAUAACAGAAUAAUAAAUGAAAGUUUGGAUUUGGA
Long non-coding RNA from Peromyscus californicus insignis, 1024 nucleotides. RefSeq lists it as uncharacterized. The transcript is spliced from 3 exons. Lineage: Eukaryota; Metazoa; Chordata; Mammalia; Rodentia; Cricetidae. The record is from RefSeq and is a predicted model, not a curated record.